This is a non-coding RNA of Kogia breviceps (pygmy sperm whale), 636 nucleotides long. NCBI's taxonomy places the organism in Eukaryota, Metazoa, Chordata, Mammalia, Artiodactyla, Physeteridae. The record is from RefSeq and is a predicted model, not a curated record.
GGACUCUUCACCUUGCCCUGGCAGGCGGAUGGGCGCUGGGGAGGCUCGGCUUCAGCGGCUGUGACUCGAGCGAAAACCUGCUCUCCGGGUCCCCUGGCUCCUGCCACCAACUGCUCGAUGUCUGUGUGCCAAUCCAAUUUGAAUGCCUGCGAGUCACCCCCCGAGAGGGCUUAUUUUAACUUCAUCAAGUGCAGAGAAAAGCAUCCAGGCUGGAGUGUGGGAGGGGAGGAGUAGUUGCUUGGGGGCCCCAGCAGGGGAUGGGAUCCGGGGGCUGCUGCCCCUCCAGUGGUUGGACCUGGGGUCCCUGCCUCCUAAUCUGGUUCAACCAAGGCUCGUUCCUAGUCAUGCUUCAAGACUCAGUGUCACUGGCUGCUUCCCCACCCCUCCGGGCAGAGUGAGAUGUUCUCCCUGGAUCCCUGCAGGAUUUUGUAUGUCCCUCUGUUUUCACAAGCCCUGUGCUGGGUGUCCAGGACAGAUGUGAACCCCAGCCGGUGCCUGCAGCACAAGGAUAGGAAUGUGUGCAAGAGACGUUUCUGACAGCGACUCCAAUUACAAGAGAUUUACAUUUUUAGUUCAUUCAUUUAUUGUUUUUCUGUGCAUGUAGUGCUUUAAUAAUGAAAAUAACAAGAAAUGUUU